UAUGGCAGAUGAUGGAUAAUCUUAUCCUACACACUGAAUCUAUUGUGUAGACCAAAUACUCCGCUUAUUAUCUGAUGCCAUU
RNAcentral lists this small nucleolar RNA (82 nucleotides) under Setaria italica (foxtail millet). RNAcentral also lists the same sequence under 1 other name. Lineage: Eukaryota; Viridiplantae; Streptophyta; Magnoliopsida; Poales; Poaceae. The record is from RNAcentral.